GAGCAAGCUUCCUUCAGAGACCAGUUAUUUAAUACAAGUCUUUCUAAGGGGCAGCUUCUUGUACAGCUUUGUCUGAUAAGCAUGUCUUGAAGGAAUAAUGAAGACUGACUGUAAGCAUCUAGAUUUGUCAAGUAGAAAGUCAUCAGUUCUACAGAGGAAGCAGCUUCAACAGACACGUGAAACAUUUGGUGCCAAAACCCGGGUCAGCGGGACUCCUUCGGGAGACCAGUCCACUGUCCUCAUCCUCGCUCUGUGA
This 256-nucleotide long non-coding RNA is filed under the name Papio anubis (olive baboon). Its description in RNAcentral is "lncRNA (ENSPANG00000048309.1)". Lineage: Eukaryota; Metazoa; Chordata; Mammalia; Primates; Cercopithecidae. The record is from RNAcentral.